Molecule: ribosomal RNA, 550 nt
Filed under: Funneliformis mosseae
Lineage: Eukaryota; Fungi; Glomeromycota; Glomeromycetes; Glomerales; Glomeraceae
Also listed under: 1 other name
Description: SSU rRNA
Rfam family: Eukaryotic small subunit ribosomal RNA
Source: RNAcentral
UUGGAGGGCAAGUCUGGUGCCAGCAGCCGCGGUAAUUCCAGCUCCAAUAGCGUAUAUUAAAGUUGUUGCAGUUAAAAAGCUCGUAGUUGAAUUUCGGGAUCAAUAUUUCGGUCAUGCCGUUGGUACGCACUGUUAUCAUUGAUUUCUCACCUUCUAAAGAACCGUAAUGCCAUUAAUUUGGUGUUACGGGGAAUUAGGACUGUUACCUUGAAAAAAUUAGAGUGUUUAAAGCAGGCUCACGCUUGAAUACAUUAGCAUGGAAUAAUGAAAUAGGACAUCCGAUUCUAUUUUGUUGGUUUCUAGGAUCGAUGUAAUGAUUAAUAGGGAUAGUUGGGGGCAUUAGUAUUCAAUUGUCAGAGGUGAAAUUCUUGGAUUUAUUGAAGACUAACUACUGCGAAAGCAUUUGCCAAGGAUGUUUUCAUUAAUCAAGAACGAAAGUUAGGGGAUCGAAGACGAUCAGAUACCGUCGUAGUCUUAACCAUAAACUAUGCCGACUAGGGAUCGGAUGAUGUUAAUUUUUUAAUGACUCAUUCGGCGCCUUACGGGAAAC